AAAAAUGUGAUCUUGCUUGUAAAUACAAUUUUGAGAGGUUAAUAAAUUACAAGUAGUGCUAUUUUUGUAUUUAGGUUAGCUAUUUAGCUUUACGUUCCAGGAUGCCUAGUGGCAGCCCCACAAUAUCCAGGAAGCCCUCUCUGCGGUCGAAAAACCUAGGUAGGUUUUUCUAAGAAAUUUACCUAUUUUU
RNAcentral lists this non-coding RNA (190 nucleotides) under Cricket paralysis virus. Its description in RNAcentral is "RNA OF CRICKET-PARALYSIS-VIRUS-IRES from Cricket paralysis virus (PDB 4V92, chain AZ)". It matches the Rfam family "Cripavirus internal ribosome entry site (IRES)". Lineage: Riboviria; Orthornavirae; Pisuviricota; Pisoniviricetes; Picornavirales; Dicistroviridae. The record is from Rfam by way of RNAcentral.